Long non-coding RNA from Brassica oleracea var. oleracea, 2146 nucleotides. RefSeq lists it as uncharacterized. The transcript has 7 exons. NCBI's taxonomy places the organism in Eukaryota, Viridiplantae, Streptophyta, Magnoliopsida, Brassicales, Brassicaceae. The record is from RefSeq and is a predicted model, not a curated record.
CCCUUCUACCCCGACUCUUCCAAUUCACUAUGUAACUACCCGUUUCGUGUUUCUUUCUUUCUCUCCCGAGUCAUCUCCUUCUGAAACUCGAUCUGAUCACUGAGAAUCUACGACGACGAAGAAGGUGGAGGAGGAAGAGGAAGAAUGAUAAUCUCAGGCUACGUAAUCGUUGUUCUAUCUGUAACUGUAUUCUAUUGCGUCGAUCCCGGAGUAGGAGACUCCUCUGACUUCGAUGAAUUCAGCGAAUCCGAAGAGGAGCUCGAUCCCGGCUCGUGGCGACGGAACUUUCGAUAGGUUAACGGAGGAAGCGGUGGAGGAGAUAGAGGCGGCUUCUUCAUCCGGAGAUCCGCGCUCGCAGUCGCUGAUGGGCUUCGUCUACGGGACGGGGGCAAAUCCUUCCUUCACCAUAACUUUGCUGCUGAAGGUGGGAACAUGCAGUCAAAGAUGACAUUUGCCUUCACGUAUCUGCGACAAGAUAUGCAUGAUAAGGCUGUGAAACCGCUGUGAAUAGCUUCCUGAUCUCAAAGGACUGUCCCGUGGUGGAACCAACUAGGAUCCACAGCGGGACUGAAGAAAACAAAGGCGCUCUAAGGAAAUCACGAGGGGAGGAGGAUGAGGAUUUUUCAGAUAUUGGAGUAUCAAGCGCAGAAAGGCAAUGCUGCGGCUAUGUACAAGAUUGGACUGUUCUACUACUUUGGUCUGCGAGGGUUAAGGCGUUGCACUGGUUUUCGAAGGCGGUGGAGAAAGGAGAGCCGAGGAUUUUGUUUCCUCAUGUAGUCGUAUAAUGUUCAUUUUCGGUCGCCUCCUCUGCCUCUGGGAUUCGCAUAACAUCAAGAAGAAUGAUGAAUUUAUGGGAAUCAGCCUCCUCUUACUAGAUGAACAGAUUUAGUUGGGCAAAUCCUUUCCGUUCAAGGCUCUGAUCUGAACAACUCUGCAGCAACAACUCGACUUGCCGUCCGUUUCCUUACUGACCCGUAAGCCAUGAAUUCAUCCUUAAAUAGUUUUGAUCCUUAUCUCAUUUAGUUCUUUCUUUCUAAUAAUUCCGUUGUGGUGUAAUGGAAUGGAAUUCACCACGGUGAAUCCAAAAAUAUUUGGAGGUAUGGUUAUCUACUUUAAAGAAUAAAACAUGUUCAUAGUUAUAUUUGGAGGUCUUUCCCGAGUUGAUACCAUGGAAGGAAGAAAAAAAAAGAGUUCGUAUCAAUUGGAGAACUUAACACGUUCAUUGCCAACUCCAGUGAACAGACAGAAGAAGCUGAUUUUCUCUGUAAGGCUCAGAUUGUGGGAGUCGUCCAGCAAAAUGGCUUGUCGUUUGUAUCUUGCACAGGUUGCAACAUGAAGCUCGCAAAAUCUCUCUGGUGCAACAGAUGUGUUUCUCCUAACGCACCGGGGUCAUCGGCUGUUGAUGACGGAAAGGAAAGUGCAACUUUUGUUGUCUUUGACAGGGAGAUGAUCAAACUCAUCAAGAAAGAGGCAAAGUCUGGCUCCUGCGUAGAUACGUUUUAACUUCUUAGAUUGGUUUUAAAAAAAAUUCCCUUACUCUAAAUGCCCCCACAAACGCCAAGCCUACUACAGAUUAGUGGCAGUGGGAGGAAUGGAGCUACCAAAAUGCCUCGAGGAGCUAGCUGGUAAUGGAUACCUUUCCAGCUACGUGUAACUCCAUAUAAUUUCACCUCCAACCACCACAGAUUCACCGUCUCUGCCAUUAGUGACAACCUCUUCUUUGGCCCUCAGAGUGGCAACAGCAACAAAGCUCCAGUCAUGGAUCUCAAAUCUGGACAACCAACAGCAUUUGCCAGCUCCGCUGGUGAUGCGGCAAAGAUAGCACUAGGAAAUGAUGGAGCAAAUCAGCCAGGUUCUGCAUACUGCAGCCAACGACAAAACCCGCAAACACCCACGUGAGUGAUAGUAUCAAGGCUAUCAAACCGUCAACUCCACUUAGAUUUUGCUCAUUUUAAUUUAUUAUAUCCAUAUAUUUUCCCUACUUUGAACUUUGGUUCUUUUGGAUUUUCUGAAAAUUUCUCUUAAAGAAUUAAAUAAUUAAAGUAACGUUGACGUGUCUUUGAUUGUCCGUAGCUUUAUGAAUGUUCAGCUCUGAUGUCAACAUUGCAUUAACGUAGGUACCUGUUAACAAGCAUGUUGUGUUGCU